UAAAACCAAAGACAUUAAGAACAGAAGCCUUAGUCCUUCCAAGCCAAAAAAACGUGAUUCUUCCAAAAAAAUUCAAGGAAUCAGAAGAAUUUCGUCCGUGAAUUUUUAAAGAAGCAAGGGCAAAUUUUGCUCAAUCAACGAAGGUUUUUCAAUCGAGUAUUAGACAGAGUUUUCCCUACUCCAGGUUUGUUAAGGCUCUCCCUUCUUCCUUUUGGCAUGGUCCAAGUUAUACUGAACAAACGAGCAAACACGUAGUUUUCAUAAAUUACUCUAUUCAUAGAAAUAAUAGGCGUGUUUAUAUUCUUGAUUUCCAUGAAAAAUAUUAUUAUCUUCUGUUCAUGGGUCUCAGAAUAAUACAUAGUUGGAAAAGUUUAUCCAUAAGGAAUAUUGAGAUUUUUACGUAUUUUUUAUGCAUUUCACUUAUUUAUACAUGUGCAUUGACCCAUGACCAGAUGACGUUAUAUACGCGUAUAUAUGUAUAUGAGAUAUGGGAAAAGGUUACGAUGUUAUAUAUGCAUUACCACCUAAUCAGAUGGUAUAUGAUGAUGAUGUUGCCCACAGUGGCUGAAAUAUGAUCCAGACGGCGAUAUAUACACGUAUAUAUGUAAAUAUAUGCAUAUGGGGUAUGGGAAAGGGUUACGGUAUUAUAUACGCACCACCACCUUAAUAGCUGGUAUAUGUUUAUGAUGUGCCCAUAGUGGCCGAGACGAUAUGAUGGGAUGCCCUCAGUGACUUGAUGAUAUUAUGUACACCCAUAUCUAUGUAUGACACGACAUUUAUACGCAUAUGCAUAACAUUAUAAACGCUUUAGAAUUUACAAAGUUAAUCAGAUUUAAAGACAUGUUUCUAUAUUCCAUGUUUCAUCUAUGUCUGUUACGUACUAAUUUUUCAUGCCUUACAUACUCAGUACAUUUUUCUUGCUGACGCCCUAUUUCAUGGGGCCUGCGUUUCAUGCCCGCAGGUGCAGGUAGGCAAGCUGACGGUCUCCUUCUUAGGAUCCUUGACCAGCGAGCGUUGGCGUGCUCCAUUUGAUCCGGAGCUUCUUUUGAUUUUGGUACGAUAUGUUUGUACAUAUAUAUGUAUACGGGUAUGAUGUGGCUCAGUCUUGUCUUUGUACAGUUAUGUUUCUAUUAGAGGUUUGUGGACAGUAUGUCUAGUUGGGUUGUAUGUCGCCUUGUCAGCUUUCAGAUUUGGAUGUAUAGUUGUCUAUAGCAGCCUUGCCGGCUCGCUCACUGUAUUCUGCAUGUAUACAUACAUAUGAUUUGAUGGCAGGUUUCCUUCACGUAUGUUAAUAUCCUAGAUGCAUGUUAGGGGUGUUUGACAGGUAGGACUCAAGCACCCGUCGCGGCCCAUCGGUUUGGGUCAUGACAAAAGUGGUAUCAGAGUAGUUCUGUCCUAGGUUUGUCUAUAGACCGUAUCUAGUAGAGUCUUGAUUAUGGGUGUGUCAGGCACCACACUUAUAUAUAGGAGGCUACAGGACAUAUAGGAUGUUAUCCUCUCUUCUUAUCUUAGAUUGUGUGAUGUAAGCAUUCAUGUUCCUAACGAUAUGUUACGUUUUCAGCGAUGCCGUCGAAGACUACAGCUGCUAGCACGGGUCAGAAGGCUACGAAGGUGUNN
RNAcentral lists this long non-coding RNA (1617 nucleotides) under Nicotiana tabacum (common tobacco). RNAcentral's name for it is "long non-coding RNA (NTAB_LNC007224)". The record is from RNAcentral. Lineage: Eukaryota; Viridiplantae; Streptophyta; Magnoliopsida; Solanales; Solanaceae.